AUAAGCUCAUUAUAUAUAUAUAUAAAAAAUUUUAUUUAUAAAUAUUUAUUCAUAUAGUAUUUUAUUUUUAUGUAGAAAUAUUAUUAUAUAAUAUUUUAUUUAUAAAAUUGUAAUUAUUUAUUAAUAUUUUUAAAUAUAUAACUCUUAUAUAUUAUUAGUAUAUGUUUAUUAUAAUUUUAAAUAUAUUUAAUCUAUAUAUAAAUAUUAUAAUAAUAAUAUAUAUAGUAUAAUACCGAAUUUUUAAAANAUAUAAAAAAUUUUAUUUAUAAAUAUUUAUUCAUAUAGUAUUUUAUUUUUAUGUAGAAAUAUUAUUAUAUAAUAUUUUAUUUAUAAAAUUGUAAUUAUUUAUUAAUAUUUUUAAAUAUAUAACUCUUAUAUAUUAUUAGUAUAUGUUUAUUAUAAUUUUAAAUAUAUUUAAUCUAUAUAUAAAUAUUAUAAUAAUAAUAUAUAUAGUAUAAUACCGAAUUUUUAAAAGUUAUAUAUAAAAAUUAUAUUUGAUCUCGAAUUUUUAAUUGGUGAACGUAUAAUACCCGUAUAAAUCACGUAUCCGAAUAACUGCCGAAUCUGUUUUUUAGUCGUAUUUUUCAACGAAUUUAAAAAUUAAAAGACGAAUUUUAUCCGAAUUAUAUCCGUAUCGAAUUUUUGCCGAAUCCAAAUUAACUAACUAUGUCUCCAGCCACCAAGGUUGGUUUAGCUGCGAUCGAUCUCAUUCGUUCAUCUGCUCGCUCCCGACGUGCUUAAUUAAUUAAUUGAUAUUUGAAGGGCAAAAAAGAAAAGUAUUUGCUAUAUGAAGGGUAUAUAAGAAAAGUUAGUUACGGUAUGAGGGUAUAUUGAAAUGGGCAAAAUGAUAAUUUUUCAGAGAUAACGGUAGCUCACUAACGGAACUUAACUCCAUGGGUAUAUUAGAAAGAUUUGGAAUAUAAGAAGGGUAUUUUCAAUAUUAGCCUUCUAAAAGGGGUAAAUAAGAAAACCAGAAAUUUUUCAGGAGUAUAUAGGCAAUUGCCCCUUUUUUAAAAAUGACCCUAUGCUUUCCGAAAUUUUCACAAAAGUGAUAAAUCAUUAUCGUCUUUCUCUUAUUUAUUAUUAUUUUUUUUUAUAUCACAUAUAUAAUUUAAUAAUUGUAUAAAAAUUUUAACAAAUCACGUAUAAUCUUAAUAACCUGAAAAAUUCUAAUAAUCUACUCAUACUAUUCUAACAAUCAAAUAAAAAUUCUAAUUAUCUAUAUAUAAUCCUAACAACUAUAUAAAAAUUUCAACAAAUUACAUACAAUUUUAACAAUCUAAAAAAUCCUAACAAACAAUCUUCAAAAAUGCAAUGGAAUAAUUCACUGCUUUAGUAGAAAAUUGCCGUCUUCUUAAAGACAGUGAAUAUUACUGUCUUCUUAAAGACAGUGAAUAAUUCACCGUUUUUAAAAGAAUUCCACCCCCUAUGCUGAGUGAUUUGGCGAAAGGAGUGUUAUUUCGCCAAAUAUUUUUUUAGUAGGGUCCUUUAGCCAAUUAUAAUACUCUUAGGGUGCGUUUGGUUCGCGCUAUCUUUUAAAGAUUCAUAGUAAUCCAAUGGGAACAAAAAAUUAUGACGGUGUUUGGCUAAACGCACUAAGUAAUCUAGUUGGUAAUAUUGGAUUCACUUGGGAAUAAGAUUCACCCCAAAGUACUAAUCUCAUUCCCUUGAGGGAGGGUGGGUAUCCUCAUAUUAAUGGAUUGGAGUAAUCAUAAUAUGUCUAAUUUCUCUCUUUCUUCCUACCCGCCGGCUAAUUGAUAUUAGUUGUCUUUACACUCUAACCUUAUAUCUCUCUCUAAACUUAUUUUUCUCUCUAAAAUUCAACUUUUUUUUCUCUCUCUAAACUAAGCUUUCUCUCUCUCUCUCUCUCUUUUUCUAAAAUUUCAACUCUCUCACUCCCUCUAAUUUUGACUAUAUUUUUCUUUCUAUUUUUUUAAUUAUGCUCUCUCUCUCUAAUUUAUACUCGCUCUCCCUUUUUUCUAAAAAGAUGUUGAAACUUUUGGUAACAUUAUCUAAAAUUAAAUAAAUAAAUAAAUUAAUUAAUUGUAUAUUUUUUGUAAUAUUAAAUAACAUGGCUAAUUAAUAUUACCGUGCGAGCCAAACAUAGCAAUUCCACAUUCUUAGUAAUAGGAUGAAUAGGAAUAAGAUUCUCGGAUAUCUUUUAUUGCUAGUAAUCUUUCAUAAUGCAAACCAAACGCAUCCUUAUGGUUAUUUGAAAAAAAAAAAAAAUCCAACUAUGACAUGUCCCCCAGCAUAAUAAAAUCAAUGCAUCUAAUAGCACUCCUAUCCACAUUCCCCAGUUCGAUCCCUCACCAUAAAUGCAUCCAAUAUACCUUCUAUACACAUUCCCUAGCAAUGGCCACACCACUGUGGCGCAGCUCCUGGGCUUCUAUUGUUGACGACAAAAGGCAAGCUAGGAGACGACUAAAUUAAAGAAAUCAAAUAAUUCUGCUCGGACUAGGGGUGGAAACGAGCUGAGCUCGAGCGAGCUUACUUCUGCUCAAGCUUGACUUGAAAUUAAUUUUGAGCCUAAAUUUAGGCUCAAGCUUGGCUUGAAAUUAAUUCGAGCAGAGCUCAAGCGAGCUCGAGCCCUAAAUGAGUUGCUUGAAAUUCUUAAAAUCGUGCAAUCAAUAGUUUAAUUUUUAUAAAAUAUUAUUUAAAUUUGAUAUAAAAAAUAUUUAAUAAUUUAACAUACAAAAUGAAUGUAUAAAUACGAUAUUAUAAUAUUAAAAAAAUUAUGAAAAGCCGAGGAAGUGAAAAAGAGAGAAAGAGAGCAAUUAGAGUAAGAUUUUGCUGGUUUGGUUUUGUGGGCCCAAUAAUCUAAAUUCUAUAUACAUAUAAUUAAAAUACAUAAUAUAUAUUAUUUUAUAUAAUUUAAAUAUAUAUUAUAUAUAAUUAUAUAUAGAGAUAGUUUGGCUACUAUAUAUACUGUAGCACACUGAACUUUAACAAAUUGCAAGGUUCUAGUGUUCGAAUAGUAUUUGGUACUAUUUCUAGUGAGUUUGAGGGUCGUGGACUGUGUACCGACCUAAUACUCGCGUUUUACGAGGAGAAAUAGUGUACUUAGCAUCAAAAUCUGCAAACUGCAGGUUUUGGGGAGCUAAGUACCGGUACCGCAGUGAGGUACCG
RNAcentral lists this long non-coding RNA (3129 nucleotides) under Ananas comosus (pineapple). Its description in RNAcentral is "long non-coding RNA (ACOM_LNC009022)". Lineage: Eukaryota; Viridiplantae; Streptophyta; Magnoliopsida; Poales; Bromeliaceae. The record is from RNAcentral.